GACGAACGCUGGCGGCGUGCUUAACACAUGCAAGUCGAGCGGUAAGGCCCUUUCGGGGGUACGACGAGCGGCGAACGGGUGAGUAACACGUGGGUGACCUGCCCUCAGCUCUGGGAGUAAGCCUGGGAAACGUGGGUCUAAUACUGGAUAUGACUCCACGGUGCAUGUCGUGGGGUGGAAAGCCUUGUGCGGCUGAGGAUGGGCCCGCGGCCUAUCAGCUUGUUGGGUGGGGGG
This 234-nucleotide ribosomal RNA is filed under the name uncultured bacterium. Its description in RNAcentral is "partial 16S ribosomal RNA". It matches the Rfam family "Bacterial small subunit ribosomal RNA", at positions 28 to 260 of the family's 1533-position model. The record is from RNAcentral.